This 1547-nucleotide ribosomal RNA is filed under the name Actinomyces sp. oral taxon 170 str. F0386. RNAcentral's name for it is "bacterial SSU rRNA". It matches the Rfam family "Bacterial small subunit ribosomal RNA". Lineage: Bacteria; Bacillati; Actinomycetota; Actinomycetes; Actinomycetales; Actinomycetaceae. The record is from RNAcentral.
AGAGUUUGAUCCUGGCUCAGGACGAACGCUGGCGGCGUGCUUAACACAUGCAAGUCGAACGGUGAAGCGCCUUCCUUUGUGGUGGGUGUGGAUGAGUGGCGAACGGGUGAGUAACACGUGAGUAACCUGCCCCCUUCUUCUGGAUAACCGCAUGAAAGUGUGGCUAAUACGGGAUAUUCUGUGCCUGCUGCAUGGUGGGUGUGGGAAAGAUUGCGCCUUUGGGUGUUUUUGGUGGGGGAUGGGCUCGCGGCCUAUCAGCUUGUUGGUGGGGUGAUGGCCUACCAAGGCGGUGACGGGUAGCCGGCCUGAGAGGGUGGACGGUCACACUGGGACUGAGACACGGCCCAGACUCCUACGGGAGGCAGCAGUGGGGAAUAUUGCACAAUGGGCGCAAGCCUGAUGCAGCGACGCCGCGUGAGGGAUGGAGGCCUUCGGGUUGUGAACCUCUUUCGCCAGUGAAGCAGGCCUGUCCCUGUGUGGGUGGGUUGACGGUAGCUGGAUAAGAAGCGCCGGCUAACUACGUGCCAGCAGCCGCGGUAAUACGUAGGGCGCGAGCGUUGUCCGGAAUUAUUGGGCGUAAAGAGCUCGUAGGCGGCUGGUCGCGUCUGUCGUGAAAUCCUCUGGCUUAACUGGGGGCUUGCGGUGGGUACGGGCCGGCUUGAGUGCGGUAGGGGAGGCUGGAACUCCUGGUGUAGCGGUGGAAUGCGCAGAUAUCAGGAAGAACACCGGUGGCGAAGGCGGGUCUCUGGGCCGUUACUGACGCUGAGGAGCGAAAGCGUGGGGAGCGAACAGGAUUAGAUACCCUGGUAGUCCACGCCGUAAACGUUGGGCACUAGGUGUGGGGGGCCUUUUCCGGGUUUUCCGCGCCGUAGCUAACGCAUUAAGUGCCCCGCCUGGGGAGUACGGCCGCAAGGCUAAAACUCAAAGGAAUUGACGGGGGCCCGCACAAGCGGCGGAGCAUGCGGAUUAAUUCGAUGCAACGCGAAGAACCUUACCAAGGCUUGACAUGUGCCGGUUUGCUUCGGAGACGGGGUUUCCUCCUUUGUGGGGGCUGGUUCACAGGUGGUGCAUGGUUGUCGUCAGCUCGUGUCGUGAGAUGUUGGGUUAAGUCCCGCAACGAGCGCAACCCUUGUCUCGUGUUGCCAGCACGUUGUGGUGGGGACUCGCGGGAGACUGCCGGGGUCAACUCGGAGGAAGGUGGGGAUGACGUCAAAUCAUCAUGCCCCUUAUGUCUUGGGCUUCACGCAUGCUACAAUGGCCGGUACAGAGGGCUGCGAUACCGUGAGGUGGAGCGAAUCCCUUAAAGCCGGUCUCAGUUCGGAUCGGUGUCUGCAACUCGACACCGUGAAGUUGGAGUCGCUAGUAAUCGCAGAUCAGCAACGCUGCGGUGAAUACGUUCUCGGGCCUUGUACACACCGCCCGUCACGUCAUGAAAGUCGGCAACACCCGAAGCCCGUGGCCCUAUGGGGAGCGGUCGAAGGUGGGGCUGGUGAUUGGGACGAAGUCGUAACAAGGUAGCCGUACCGGAAGGUGCGGCUGGAUCACCU